GGGGGAUAUUGCACAAUGGGCGAAAGCCUGAUGCAGCGACGCCGCGUGAGGGAAGAAGGUUUUCGGAUUGUAAACCUCUGUCUUCGAGGACGAAGAAGUGACGGUACUCGAGGAGGAAGCCACGGCUAACUACGUGCCAGCAGCCGCGGUAAAACGUAGGUGGCAAGCGUUGUCCGGAAUUACUGGGUGUAAAGGGAGCGCAGGCGGGACGGUAAGUUGAAUGUGAAAACUGGGGGCUCAACCCCCAGACUGCGUUCAAAACUAUCGUUCUUGAGUGAUGUAGAGGCAGGCGGAAUUCCCGGUGUAGCGGUGGAAUGCGUAGAUAUCGGGAGGAACACCAGUGGCGAAGGCGGCCUGCUGGGCAUUAACUGACGCUGAGGCUCGAAAGUGUGGGGAGCAAAC
RNAcentral lists this ribosomal RNA (402 nucleotides) under uncultured bacterium. RNAcentral's name for it is "bacterial SSU rRNA". It matches the Rfam family "Bacterial small subunit ribosomal RNA", at positions 356 to 773 of the family's 1533-position model. The record is from RNAcentral.